AUUGAACGCUGGCGGCAGGCCUAACACAUGCAAGUCGAGCGAGCGGCGGACGGGUGAGUAAUGUAUGGGGAUCUGCCUGAUGGAGGGGGAUAACUACUGGAAACGGUAGCUAAUACCGCAUACCAUCAGAUGACCCCAUAUGGGAUGUGCUAGUAGGUGGGGUAACGGCUCACCAAGGCGACGAUCCCUAGCUGGUCUGAGAGGAUGAUCAGCCACACUGGGACUGAGACACGGCCCAGACUCCUACGGGAGGCAGCAGUGGGGAAUAUUGCACAAUGGGCGCAAGCCUGAUGCAGCCAUGCCGCGUGUAUGAAGAAGGCCUUAGGGUUGUAAAGUACUUUCAGUGGGGAGGCGUUACCCGCAGAAGAAGCACCGGCUAACUCCGUGCCAGCAGCCGCGGUAAUUC
This 406-nucleotide ribosomal RNA is filed under the name uncultured bacterium. RNAcentral's name for it is "partial 16S ribosomal RNA". It matches the Rfam family "Bacterial small subunit ribosomal RNA", at positions 30 to 526 of the family's 1533-position model. The record is from RNAcentral.